GCAUCCGUAGCUCAGAUGGAUAGAGCGUCGGCCUCCGAAGCCGCAGGUCGCAGGUUCGAAUCCUGCCGGGUGCACCC
Molecule: transfer RNA, 77 nt
Filed under: Myxococcales bacterium
Lineage: Bacteria; Pseudomonadati; Myxococcota; Myxococcia; Myxococcales
Description: tRNA-Arg
Rfam family: tRNA
About the family: Transfer RNA (tRNA) molecules are approximately 80 nucleotides in length. Their secondary structure includes four short double-helical elements and three loops (D, anti-codon, and T loops).
Source: RNAcentral